RNAcentral lists this non-coding RNA (32 nucleotides) under Homo sapiens (human). The record is from RNAcentral. Lineage: Eukaryota; Metazoa; Chordata; Mammalia; Primates; Hominidae.
UUGAGAAAUCGGAUGGUUGCUGUGUCUGUGUA